This 404-nucleotide unclassified non-coding RNA is filed under the name soil metagenome. Its description in RNAcentral is "partial contains 5.8S ribosomal RNA, internal transcribed spacer 2, and large subunit ribosomal RNA". The stretch from base 1 to 122 matches the Rfam family "5.8S ribosomal RNA", at positions 35 to 154 of the family's 154-position model. The record is from RNAcentral.
GAUGAAGAACGUAGCGAAAUGCGAUACUUGGUGUGAAUUGCAGAAUCCCGUGAACCAUCGAGUCUUUGAACGCAAGUUGCGCCCGAAGCCAUUAGGCCGAGGGCACGCCUGCCUGGGUGUCACACAUCGUUGCCCCAAUGCCAAUCGCCUCACUUUGUAGGUAUUUGCUUGGGGUGAAUGUUGGCCUCCCGUGAGCUUUGUCUCACGGUUGGUGGAAAAUCGAGUGCAUGGUGUCGGGUGUACCAUGAUGGAUGGUGGUUGAGUGAUGAUGCUCGAGACCAAUCAUGGGUAACUCCACCAGAAUUGGGCUCGGUGACCCACAUGCGUCCCUUGGAUGCUCCCUAAGGAGACCUCAGGUCAGGCGGGGCUACCCGCUGAGUUUAAGCAUAUCAAUAAGCGGAGGA